AAAUUCAUAUUUAAAAUGGCUUCGGUAUAUCUAUAGAAAUUAAUAGUGUAAGUUAGGUUAUUUUUUAAUUGGCCCCUAUUUUUAUCAAUAUGCCGAAAGGCAGAAAAUCUCUUGAUUCAGGAUCCAAAAAUGCCUCUAAAUCUGAUUUAUCGGGGUCUUCCGAUCAAAAUGUCAAAAUAAUGAAAAAUGUUGAAUCAGGCGAUGAAGUCAAAAAAAAUCCACGGAAUCGUCGUUUAAUGGAGCGUGUAGAAAUGUUAGCCCGUCCAACCGCCAGGCGUUUACGUUGCUUGUGGGAUGAAAAGUGUGAUGUUCUUCCACCUGAAAGGAGGAACAAGAUCAAAAGUGCUUUGGAAGAAGAUUACUUCCUUAGUCCAGAACAAACUGAGCAAUAUUUCCAAGCAAUAAGUGGCUCGUCUAAACACUGGUCGGGUCCUGGUGGUAUGGUGAGUCGAAAGGAUCAAGCUGAUAAAGUACGUGAAUUAAGACAACGACAGAAGUGGCUUAUUAAUUUCAGUGCACAGGUGGCCUACCGUCUAUGCGAUUAUAUUGCGAAGGGGCAGAAGGAAAUAUUGGUGUCAAACAGGCUGAGAAGCAUUGCUGAUGUUGUAUUGGAACGUGUGGCUGAAAUUUUAGGUGAACCGAAGCCAGCUCGCACGGACCCUGGUCGUCUCGCCCGUUUUAUGGUAGCUAUAUCAGAUCGCAUAGCUGUAUGGAUUGAAAAUGCCGUGUACCGAGCUGAUGCCAUCGAGCCCAAAGAGUCCAGUAUUGACGAGCAUAUGCGCCUGGACACGGAAAAACCUCUCAUCUGUUAAAGCAUAUGAACCAUGACAUCUUUCACUAUAUCCAUAAAAUCAAUAUUUAUCAGGUUAUCUUCGCUCUGUGCUGCCUGGCUCUUGCCACAGCUGCUCCUCAGUUCAUCUGGCCCGGCUUUAACACUGUACCUAGGG
Molecule: RNA transcript, 947 nt
Organism: Pieris brassicae (large cabbage white)
Lineage: Eukaryota; Metazoa; Arthropoda; Insecta; Lepidoptera; Pieridae
Exons: 6
Source: RefSeq, a predicted model, not a curated record